RNAcentral lists this transfer RNA (82 nucleotides) under Saccoglossus kowalevskii. RNAcentral's name for it is "tRNA-Tyr". It matches the Rfam family "tRNA". Rfam says of the family: Transfer RNA (tRNA) molecules are approximately 80 nucleotides in length. Lineage: Eukaryota; Metazoa; Hemichordata; Enteropneusta; Harrimaniidae. The record is from RNAcentral.
GUAGUCGUGGCCGAGUGGUUAAGCCGAUGGACUAUAAAUCCAUUGGCCUCUGCCCGCGCAGUUUCGAAUCCUGCCGACUACG